GUGGAUCAUUAGGAUAAUAUCCCCCACAUUGUUUUCACUUCCCACUGUCUAUGUCUAUUCCCUUUAAGUAGUCAGUCUUUCCCUGCACCCCCACCACUGUUGAGCUUAGUCGUAUGAUUGUUUCUGGCCAAUGGGAUAAUAGCAAAUGAGGUGCAAACACAGGCCUGACAAGUGCUUGCGCAUUGCGCAUGCCAUUUCUUUCUGACGGGAAUCAUUCCGCCACAAGCGAACGAGCCUGGGCUGGCCUUGUGGAAGCCUAGCCGAGGCCUCAGAAUAUGGAUGAGAUCAUCUGAGACCAUCCACCCCAGGAAGCCAGCAAAGUGGCUAGAAGCCGCCAUACCACCGCAGAAUCACGAUUGCUGUUCUGAGUCACUACAUUUCAGGUGACUUGUUGAGCAGCAAACGAGCAGACGAACCUAAAGUCAGAAGAUGCUAGCGGAAGAAACAGGACCCAGAACUCCAUUGGAAAAUGGGGUAUACAGACUUCGAGGAUGCCAGACAAAAAGAUCAUUUGAAAUAUUGUUGUCACUAAGCCUUCUUUGAUCAAGACACCAUGAGCUCAUGGAACUGGUCCUCUGAAGACAGCGUCUGCAAUGAAGCUGAGUCCUCUCUCUCUCCCAGGCCCGAGUGUCUACCUCUAAUUUAUUCCUGAUGAAUGACAGCAAGUUCACAGCCUCAGGCUAAUGGAAGCACGAUAGUGAGCAAGGCAGACAAGGUCACUGCCCACAAGGAGCUGCUGAUGGAGAAUAACAUGCAAAGAAGAAGGCAGGAUUGAGCUUUCAGCUGCUCUGUAGAUUCUCAUCAGAGGUGCAGACUCUUCUUUGUGGAUCAUACCUACAUUUUACUUUUCCUGAAAAUAUAGUAUGUAUUCAGGGCACACAGGCAUCUUCUAUUCACUUCAUCAUCAACACUUGUCAAACAAAAACUGCUGUUCAUGCUACAGACUCAUGCAGCUCCCUGCAUUUUGAAAGAAUUGCCUCCAUCUUCUGAGCCUGGCUCAAGGAGUGAGAAGUGGCAGCAUCAUCAACUCCAAAGACAGCUUUAUACAAGAUUAGCAUCUUCAACAAGAAUGUCAGAGGCAUGAAAAUGAGGAAAAUGUAAUCACAAUCACUCACUAUGAAUUUCCUGGGACAAAAUUAAACUUAAAUGGCAACAAAAGGUGAACUUGGUUAAAAUGAUUGAUGGACAGUUUUCCUUGCUAAAUUUCAUUCAAAAUAGCAUAGGUCAUAUCCAAGUAUGUUCUCAUCAAAGAGUGGAUUGCUUUCUGGUCUUGGUCUGGGGUCUGCUGCUUAAUCCAUGUGGGAACUUAGUCAAGUGAAGCUAACUUUUUCCUUCCUCAGUGGACUCAACUGUAAAAUGGGUAGAAUAACAGUACUUGUUAGGAUGUCAUCUAAGUGAAAUAGUACUUACAUUUAAUUGUAAGAAUUAAAUGACAUGGUAUGAGUGAAGCACUCAGCACAGAGCCUGGGAGUAGUGAGCACCAUCAUAUAUAUUAACCAUUAUUGUAGUACCUGGAAACUGUGUUUUACUUGAACAGCUGUGUUUUUCUUGUUACUUAUCUACAAUUGACCACACUGGAUAUUUGUUUUGAGCCAUAAUGAGGAUGAAGUGGAAAGAUAAACCCAUUUAUCCCUCCUAUUAUAAUUGUAAAGAGUCAUUUUUAGUGAACUUCAAUUAUAAACUCAGGGACAAGAAUAUUCUUUAUGAGAGCAAAGAAAGAGAGCAGAGGCUGCAAAGAAUUGUGUCCCACUUAGACAUUCCCUCGCAAGCCCCAGAACAAAAGAAAAUUGGUCGCAAACAGCAAUUCUUUUAGCCACCUGGAUCAUGUCUGGCCAGGAUAGAAGAAAACGGUUCUUGUUUCACUAAUGGAAUUUUAAAAGCAUUGCUCCCAAUCUUUCUGUGGGUAAGUUUAGACUCAGUAGAGAGCUCAGCCUGAUGUGCAACAAAUCUGGAGUUGUUGUGUGGCUCUCUCAGAUGCCUGAAUACAUUAAAGAUGUGUAGCCCCAACUGAGAGCCUUGCACAGUAAGCACAUGAGGGCACAAGCCACAGAAUGGAAAACUCACAGCUUAGCAAUUUGGGAUAUUUAUUUUGUCUACUUUUAAAAUAUUUAGUCUGGAAUAUUUAAACUAAUAUUUGAUUGGUGUACACACUUGUCCAAAUUUACAGCAGCUGACACUGCAUGGAGCUUUGGAGACGCAGGUUCACGGCUAGCUGAUUGUUUAGAAAGCUCAUAUGUGAAAAGCCAGAUCUUUCUGCGAAUGUAGAUAAAAAGUGGGUCAAGCCAAGUGUAUGGAAAAUGAGAUAAUGGGAGAUUCGGAGAAUAUUCCCAUGGGGGCCAGUUUUUCUGAUGUCCAACUGAACUACAUAUUAAUGAAGGAUGAAAACCUCUCACAACUGAUAAGCAGGCUGUCUCCUGGCAAUUAUCAUAGCUUCUGUUGCAAAAUAGGUACAUUAUUUGGACUUUAUCCAUUCCUUGACUUGCUCUCUGUGAGGAAGCACAGUCUCAAAUAAUUGCAGGUCUAUUAGCACAUCAAUUACCUAAAGACCUUGAUUUUAGCAAGGAGUGGAUUUUAAUCAAUUGCUGCAAAUGUUAUCGAGAGAUUAGUUGUCCCAGAGAAUAAAAUUAACUACAAUUAGACUGUAAUAACUCGUGAGUGCCACUAGCAUAUAUUUUCUAGUUCCUGUACAAUUAAUGCAUUUUACUGCUUCCUGUAUAAAAAACAUUUAGACUUUUUCAUAAUAACUUGAAUUAAUGUUACCUUUUUAAUUUCCUUCCUUGUAAGGAACCAAAAGGACACAACUAAACUAAUACAUAAAUAACUUGCACUUUAAUAUAUUGAGUUCUUACUAAACAAGACAAUUUAAGAUAAUUAAUAGAAACUAAAGAGUUUAUUAAAGCAGAAUUUUAUUUCAAUCCUGAAAUUGAAUCCAGUGUUUUUAAAGCAUUAGUGAUUGGACAGAGGGAAUGAUGGGGGGAGAUAAGAGAAAAUACAUCACGGUUCAGUGAUGGUCAAUUGAGGUAAAAAUGACAACAUGGCAGAUCUGGGGACAUGUGAACAUUCAGUCAUGCAUCCAGAAACACCUGAGGAGGGAACUGUACUAGUCUGUUCUCAUGCUGCCAAUAAAGACAUACCCAAGACUGGGUAAUUUAUAAAGGUAGGAGGUUUAAUUGACUCACAGUUUCACAUGGCUGGGACUGCCUCACAAUCAUGGUGGAAGGCGAAUGAGGAGCAAAGUUAUGACUUACAUGGCGGCAGGCAAGGGAGCUUGUGCAGGGGAGUUCCCAUGUAUAAAACCAUCAGAUCUCGUGAGACUUAUUCACUACCACAAGAGCAGAUGGGGGAAACUGCCCCCUAUGAUUCAAUUAUCUCUACCUGGCCUCACCCUUGACAUGUGGGGAUUAUUACAAUUUAAGGUGAGAUUUGAGUGGGGACACAGCCAAACCAUAUCAGGAACUUAUUAAAGUGUUGCACUUGCUGUAUUCAAAGUGAAUGAGAGACUAUUAUGGUGUCUAUAAUAAUUUACUUCCAAAUACUUUGACACAUACUAUGCAAUAUAAAGCAUGUGCUACUUAGUUUGAACUUCAAUUCUAGGGCCAGUCACUUUCUCUGAUCAAGAAUCCACACUCCAAUGGUGGUAGCUAGCAUUAUAUGAGGAAGGCUAAUUCUAAGGGUGGCUACUAAAAGCCCCAUAUCUUAAACAGCACCUGAGGAUAUGCUAAUUAGCAUAGUGAAUGUCAGACAUGGAUUUGUUCAGUGUCCUUGUGGCCUGUUAUUUAGCAAGACUGGUAGAACUGCACUCUGACUGAUUAGAUGACAUGAAAAUUGUCUCAGAGAUGUGACUUAGCUAAAAUCUUUUUGUUGAUAUUACAAGGACUUGCAUGGACAGCAUGUAGGAAUUCAGGGAGACUCAAAACCAGCUUUCUCAAGGAUGGCCCUGAUGCUUGAUUCCUUAAAGGCUCUGUGGCUGGUUCUCGAUUGCUUGGUAUGAUAAAAGUCACAGUUUCCCACCUCCAGAAUGUUUUAAUAUCUAUUUUGAGUGAAACUUUCAUGUAGGGUGGUGGUUGCAGCAUCUACACAGGCAGAAGGUGAGAUUUUGUGUAAUUAUUUCAGGUUUGAUUGCACAUAAAAAGUUUAAUAUAUUCAAUAUUUGUAGCAGAACUUGGCUGAAAACUUACUUUCAUUAUAACCUGGUAAAAGGUUGUAGAGGAAUAGCUAACUUCCAUUCACCUCAAAUUGUUCAGUGAUUAACUUUCUCCACCAGAAAUAAUUUAAGAGUUGUUCUUGUCUAAAUUGGCUGAAGACACUUUGCGGCAGGACAUCGGAUUAUUCCUGUUUGGGAAAUAGGUAACAGUACUUACUCCCUUUGAAGACUGCAAAGUUCAGAUAUAUGUAAGUUAACUUACGAUCUUCCUAGUGUUGUAGGAGGACUCCAAUACUUUGAGGCUAAAACAUGAAUUUUUAACCUAAAUAUUGACCCUGGAUGUGUAAAAAUUAAUAGUUUUGUGAUCCAAUAACAGAAUUUAGUACUUAUUUCAUUUUUGAAUGUAGACAAACUACAUAUUACAGGUGCCUAUAAUUUUGUUACCAAUAUGAAUCACAGAAAUUUUUCACGACAUCUUAUGGUUGUUAUACAUAACUCUAAAGAUUAUUUAGGAUCAUCACCACUUGAAAAUUAUGGUAGUUAUUAGAGCAACUGCUAAAUCUCUUUGUUUAACAUAUCAGUAAAUAAUUAAUGCUAAUUACUACAUUGUUAACUUUUUUCUUAUAUUUUGAAAUUUAAUUUCAGUAUAAUUGGCUUUCUUCUUCAUUCUAUGUAUUUUAUGAAUUUAAAAACAUUAUUUGGGGAAGGGGAUCAGUAGAAAUCGCCAGACUGAAAAGGGCUUCAUGGCACAAUAAAGAGUAAGAACCCCUCACCCAGAAGGUUCCUUCAAUGCCAAUACCAUUCCCAAAAUUAAUCCAAGUUGCCUGGACUAUUUCCUUGUUUAUGUGAUGUCAUAAAAGUGAAUGAUGUGCAUGUAUCUGUGUGUGUAGGAUGGGUUGGGUUGAACUGUCAUAAAUUAAAAAAUAAGGGCAGCCAGUGUGGCAGAUUCAGGAAAGGAAGAUAAUGGAGUAAGAGUAAAUUUGUUGUAGGUUUUCUUAAAAAUCUUUUUUCCAUAACAUCGUGCUGCAUCAUCAAUGAAAAGGAAAAAAAAGCUUAUUUUCCAGUUUGUUGGAUAGAGGAAGAAAAUUUCAUGGGGAACCAUUUAUUAAGUACCUUAACCUGACUUCUCUCCUGCCUCUACAUAUCCUCUUAUGGGCAAAGAGGCUCAUGACUAACAUAGGCAUUUGGGAUAAAGGAUACACAGCUAUAUUAUUGGACCACAGACUUUAAGGCCUUGGGCCAACCACCUCAAUGUUCUGGGUUUAAUUUUAGUGGAGAAAAAAGUAUCUGACAGCACUUUUGACUCCGCUUCCUUACCUUCAUAUGUGUGUUGCUCAAAUUAGAAAGGGGUUUCCUGAUCCUUGACUGCACUAAUGUAGAGGUGUCUAUGCAUGGCAGGUCUUCCUGGAGAACCCUUGAUCUGCUCAUUUGUGAAACCUGGAGAAAAAUGAUUGAAUGCCAGUGAAGUCGUGAUUAGGACUUUCAUAGGUCUCAGGUGCUCAGAUAUAAGUCUUAUUAAUAUCUGUCACUGGAAACCUUAGUGUGGAAAAGCAAAAGCUAUGAACACUGACUUGUCAGGUUUGAGUCCUGACUAUGCAUGUCCCUUAUUAGUUAAAUGACCUUAUGCAAGUCACUUCCUCUUCUAAAACUUCGAUUUCCACAUCUAUGAAAUGGCAGUCAUCAUCAUCAUCAUCAUCAUCAUCAUCAUCUUUAUCAUUUCGUCUCCCUUUUGGGAUGCUGUGAGGUUUAAAUCACAUGCAGAUGAUAUCUAGCAUAACGUACUUAUGGAAUGUGGAAUGUGAAUGACUCCAUAUUCAUUCUUUUGGA
Molecule: RNA transcript, 5971 nt
Organism: Pan troglodytes (chimpanzee)
Lineage: Eukaryota; Metazoa; Chordata; Mammalia; Primates; Hominidae
Gene: HDGFL1
Gene name: HDGF like 1
Exons: 6
Source: RefSeq, marked provisional